Molecule: ribosomal RNA, 911 nt
Filed under: uncultured archaeon
Lineage: Archaea
Description: bacterial SSU rRNA
Rfam family: Archaeal small subunit ribosomal RNA
Source: RNAcentral
UUCCGGUUGAUCCCGCCAGAGGUCAUUGCUAUCCGGGUUCGACUAAGCCAUGCGAGCUGAGAGGUGAAAGACCUCGGCGAACUGCUCCGUAAUGCAUGGUCAACCUACCCUUAGCAGGGAGAUAAACUCGCGAAAGUGAGCUCAAUAUCCCAUAUUUCUAUGAUACUGGAAUGUUCAUAGAACGAAAGCUACGACGGCUAAGGAUGGGACUGUGCCUGACUAGGCUGUUGUCUGUGUAAUGAACAGACAAACCGAUAAUCAGUAAGGGCUAUGGAAGUAGGAGCCUUGAGAUGGACUCUGAGACAUGAGUCCAGGUACUACGGUACGCAGCAGGCGCGAAACCUUUGCAAUCGGCUCACGCCGGACAAGGGAACCUGGAGUGUUCCAGUUUUACUGGAACUUUUGCCUACUGAAAAAAGGUAGGAGAAUAAGGGCUGGUUAAGACGGGUGCCAGCCACCGCGGUAAUACCCGCAGCCCGAGUGAUGGCCAGGAUUAUUGGGUCUAAAGCGUCCGUAGCCGGUUUAAUAAGUCCUUGGUGAAAUCUUAUAGCAAACUGUAAGGCUUGCUGAGGAUACUAUUAGACUUGAGACCGGGAGAGGGUAGGGGUAUUCAUAGGGUAGGGGUUAAAUCCUAUAAUCCUAUGAGGACCACCUGUGGCGAAGGCGCCUACCUAGAACGGGUCUGACGGUGAGGGACGAAAGCUAAGGGAGCGAUCGGGAUUAGAUACCCCGGUAGUCUUAGCUGUAAACGAUGCCCGCUUGGUGUUACAGACCUCUUGGGGGUCUGUUGUGCCGGAGCGUAGUGUUAAGCGGGCCACCUGGGAAGUAUACUCGCAAGGGUGAAACUUAAGGGAAUUGGCGGGGGAGCACACAAGGGGUGGGCGUUGCGGUUCAAAUGGAGUCAACGCCGG